This 253-nucleotide ribosomal RNA is filed under the name uncultured bacterium. RNAcentral's name for it is "partial 16S ribosomal RNA". It matches the Rfam family "Bacterial small subunit ribosomal RNA", at positions 524 to 776 of the family's 1533-position model. The record is from RNAcentral.
UACGAAGGGGGCUAGCGUUGCUCGGAAUCACUGGGCGUAAAGCGCACGUAGGCGGAUUGCUAAGUCAGGGGUGAAAUCCUGGAGCUCAACUCCAGAACUGCCUUUGAUACUGGCGAUCUUGAGUCCGGGAGAGGUGAGUGGAACUGCGAGUGUAGAGGUGAAAUUCGUAGAUAUUCGCAAGAACACCAGUGGCGAAGGCGGCUCACUGGCCCGAUACUGACGCUGAGGCACGAAAGCGUGGGGAGCAAACAGG